AAAAUUGAAUUAUCUAAUUGAUGAAAAGGAUAAAAAGAAGAAAAAAAAAAUUAAAACAAGGUAAAAUUGAAGAAAAAUGUUACAAUAAAACUUAAUAUAUUUUUAUAUAGAAGCGUAGAUAUUUACAAAUUUUCAAGUAUUUAAAGUAAUAAAUAAUAAUUAAAUUUUAAAUAAAUAAUUUAUAUAAAAUUGAAAAGAAA
RNAcentral lists this long non-coding RNA (200 nucleotides) under Lathyrus oleraceus (garden pea). RNAcentral describes it as "Pisum sativum (pea) long non-coding RNA (PSAT_LNC019060)". The record is from RNAcentral. Lineage: Eukaryota; Viridiplantae; Streptophyta; Magnoliopsida; Fabales; Fabaceae.